Molecule: transfer RNA, 57 nt
Filed under: Ancylostoma ceylanicum
Lineage: Eukaryota; Metazoa; Nematoda; Chromadorea; Rhabditida; Ancylostomatidae
Description: tRNA-Tyr
Source: RNAcentral
AAGAAUUUAGUUUAAUUUAAAAAUAUUAGAUUGUAAAUCUAAAGUUGAUUAUUCUUG